UAGGGAAUAUUGGGCAAUGGAGGAAACUCUGACCCAGCCAUGCCGCGUGAAGGAUGAAGGUCCUACGGAUUGUAAACUUCUUUUAUUAGGGAAGAAACCCUCGCAUUCAUGCGAGGCUGACGGUACCUAAGGAAUAAGCACCGGCUAACUCCGUGCCAGCAGCCGCGGUAAUACGGAGGGUGCAAGCGUUAUCCGGAUUCACUGGGUUUAAAGGGAGCGUAGGCGGAACGAUAAGUCAGUGGUGAAAGCCCCGAGCUCAACUUGGGAAUUGCCAUUGAUACUGUUGUUCUUGAGUUCGGUUGAGGUAGGCGGAAUGUUACAUGUAGCGGUGAAAUGCUUAGAUAUGUAACAGAACACCGAUUGCGAAGGCAGCUUACCAAGCCGACACUGACGCUGAGGCUCGAAAGCGUGGGGAUCAAACAG
RNAcentral lists this ribosomal RNA (423 nucleotides) under uncultured bacterium. Its description in RNAcentral is "bacterial SSU rRNA". It matches the Rfam family "Bacterial small subunit ribosomal RNA", at positions 355 to 775 of the family's 1533-position model. The record is from RNAcentral.